CCUGUAUAUACCUAGGGAGGACGUGUUUCCCCUCCUACUUUCGAGAACGCCCUGCUCUGUCUAUGAGUAGCUAUUCUUUCACCACUUUACUUCCUUAAUAAACUUACUUUUGCUUUGCACUGUGGACUUGCCCUGAAUUCUUUCUUGUGGGAGAUCGAAGAACUCUCUCUUGGUGUCCGGAUCGGGACUCCUUUCCGGUAACAUCACUAUGUUGCCCAGGCUGGUCUUGAACUCCUGGCCUCAAACCAUCCUAUAGAUUCGACCUCCGAAAGUGCUGGGGUUACAGGCAUAGCCACUGUGCCCAGCUGGAACAAUCUUUAUGAAGGUGAAUUAAAGCUGUGAGGCAUGAGACCAGAAAAGAUGCACCAGGAGUAAUGGAUUUUGGUGGAGAAUGAGCCACAGAAACGCGAUCAUGAGGCAAAUGGUGGGGCCUAACCCUGCCUUCUCAGUCCUCGGGAUGGGAGACCGGGCUAGAGAAGAGAAGGCUGGUGUGAAAACGCCGGGAGGCCCUCAUCGAGCCUCAUUCUCAGCCACAUCGUAAGGAUUUAGAGGCCCUAAGCACUGACGACGCUGUGGUGCCACAAAAAUAGACAAGCAGGGCAUGUGCGCUGAAGCUGGAAGAGGCUUCUUCCAUAUUUUCAUUGCAAAAUCAGAACUUUGUUCCUCUUUGCAGUUGGUAUUUGAGAUGUUAAGAAUGGAAACGCUGAUUCCCCUCAGACCCGCUUUGCAGAUAACCCUGCAUUUUACCGAGAUGUCAAAGCAGGAAGUGCUUGGCUGGAACAUCUGCCGACAGCCUCAUCUCUUUCUGCAAGAUCAUGAUGUUCUGCAUGCUCCUGUGGCCUCUUAUUUCACGUUGCUCUCCCUGCAAAUUUUGAAACAACUUUAAAGAUGAAUAAAAAGCAGCUCAGCAAGUGAAUCCCAGAUCCCGGUAAGAGAGUGUCUCCCCCAACUCACAUAGUGAGUGCACAUCAUCCCCAGAACCACCAUGAGAGUGAGCCUGGUAGCGGGUAGCACCCUGCCUGUGACGAAGCCAGCACACUAUGACGAGCAGCAGCUUCUAGACCCAUGGACCACGGGCACUGCCAACGCUCUCCCUCCGGGGACUCCUCCUGCCUCCCAUACAGGGCCAAACUCCGACGCCCACGAGCUCGCUCAGAAUUGGCUCAGGCUGCAAUCACUUCUCUUCUCCUACCUCCACACCAUUCCCUGAUGGUGGACAGCUUCUCCUUUGAGAACCACACCUGCCUUUUCAGACAAAAGGAGACACCACCCACCCUCCUGCUGAGGGCUGCUCCCCUGGGGCCUUCUCAGCACACCUCUCUCUCUCUAGGUCAAAAAACAAAUUUCACAUGCUGAAUUUUUACCUUUUUUAAAGUGACUCCGAAUUUUGGCACCAGCAAUUAAUUCAACACUUGAAUAAGAUUUGAAAACCUCACAACAAAUCACAAAUAUAUUAUGGGUCCUGUU
Molecule: long non-coding RNA, 1467 nt
Filed under: Homo sapiens (human)
Lineage: Eukaryota; Metazoa; Chordata; Mammalia; Primates; Hominidae
Description: HSALNT0198765
Source: RNAcentral